Molecule: RNase P RNA, 385 nt
Filed under: Alphaproteobacteria bacterium
Lineage: Bacteria; Pseudomonadati; Pseudomonadota; Alphaproteobacteria
Description: RNase P RNA component class A
Rfam family: Bacterial RNase P class A
About the family: Ribonuclease P (RNase P) is a ubiquitous endoribonuclease, found in archaea, bacteria and eukarya as well as chloroplasts and mitochondria. Its best characterised activity is the generation of mature 5'-ends of tRNAs by cleaving the 5'-leader elements of precursor-tRNAs.
Source: RNAcentral
CCAGACGGCCGGAUGGCCGCGCCUCGCUUCGGCGGGGUGAGGAAAGUCCGGGCUCCACGGAGACACGGUGCCGGGUAACGCCCGGCGGGGGCGACCCCAGGGACAGUGCCACAGAAAGCAAACCGCCUGUACGCCUUCGGGUUUGCGGGUAAGGGUGAAAGGGUGCGGUAAGAGCGCACCGCGCCUCCGGCAACGGCGGCGGCGAAGGUAAACCCCACCGGGAGCUAGGCCAAAUAGGGGCGGCACGGGCCUUCGGGUCCAGGCGUGUUUUCGCGCCGCCGCCCGGGUAGGCCGCACGAGGCGUUCGGCGACGGGCGUCCCAGAUGAAUGGCCAUCUCCCGCCUCACAGCGGGGACAGAACCCGGCUUACAGGCCGUCUGGCGCU